Molecule: ribosomal RNA, 378 nt
Filed under: uncultured archaeon
Lineage: Archaea
Description: bacterial SSU rRNA
Rfam family: Archaeal small subunit ribosomal RNA
Source: RNAcentral
ACUUUGCAAUACACGAAAGUGUGACAGGGCUAUCCCGAGUGCCAUCCGCUGAGGAAGGCUUUUACCCAGUCUAGAACGCUGGGGGAAUAAGGAGAGGGCAAGUCUGGCGUCAGCCGCCGCGGUAAUACCAGCUCUCCGAGUGGUGUGGAUGUUUAUUGGGCCUAAAGCAUCCGUAGCUGGCUAAGUUAGUCCCCUGUUAAAUCCAACGAAUUAAUCGUUGGAUCGCGGGGGAUACUGCUUGGCUAGGGGACGAGAGAGGCAGACGGUAUUUCCGGGGUAGGGGUGAAAUCCUAUAAUCCCGGGAAGACCACCAGUGGCGAAGGCUGUCUGCUAGAACGCGCCCGACGGUGAGGGAUGAAAGCUGGGGGAGCGAACCGG